This is a long non-coding RNA of Acanthochromis polyacanthus (spiny chromis), 637 nucleotides long. RefSeq lists it as uncharacterized. The record is from RefSeq and is a predicted model, not a curated record. Lineage: Eukaryota; Metazoa; Chordata; Actinopteri; Pomacentridae. The transcript is spliced from 3 exons.
CUCCCUUCCUCCCCCGUCGUCCUCCCUUCCUCCCCCGUCGUUCUCCCUUCCUCCCCCGUCGUCCUCCUGCCUCCCCCAUCGUCCUCCCUGCCUCCCCCAUCGUCCUCCCUUCCUCCCCCAUCGUCCUCCUGCUCUGUUCUCUCGUCACGUUCGACCUGGAGACAUUUAGACGUCUGAGAUGACGACAGAGAUCGUCUUUCUGCGUCCUGAAACCACCUCCAGGUGAUGCGUCUCAUCCUGUGUUUUACUGAAAGUCAUGUGACCUCUGAAUGUCAGAGAAGAUCACAGAUGAGUGGGAGGAAGACGAGAUGAACCAGGAGCAGGUGGAUUUUCUGGCAGCAGAUGGAACCAAAUCCUGCAGAACGAAGAGGAGCGCCGCCCUCUAGUGGCUCAGCCAGGCGCCCUAUAGACCGGUCAGUUCACAUUUACCUGCCUGCCCUGUACGAUCAUGUGACAUAAACCUGUUAAAUCCAGCUGCAGUCAGUCCACAGGUCGUCGUUUUUAUCGCACUGAUCCUGCAGGUAAUAAACCCGCUCAGGUGUUGUUUGGUCACAUGACUUCAUAUCUGUCCUCUCUAACGGUUCAUUGACCUGCAGCUCUCUAAAGCUCUGCUUCCAGGAAUUAGACCGCACCUCUU